AGUCCAUGGUGAGAACACCUUCUCAAUAAAUCCUUAAAUCUCUCCAAUGUGUCAUAAAGAGUCUCAAUAUCAAGUUGAACAAAAGGAGAGAUGUUAUUCCUCAACUU
Molecule: non-coding RNA, 107 nt
Organism: Gossypium raimondii (Peruvian cotton)
Lineage: Eukaryota; Viridiplantae; Streptophyta; Magnoliopsida; Malvales; Malvaceae
Source: Rfam